UGUAACUUCUAAACAAAUUAGGAUUAACCUUUUUAAAGCAGGAAAAUAUAGAUAUUCUAAUUUCCUAUGCUACUGGAUAAUCUCCUCAUUAUCACUCAUAUAUUGUCGUAACAAGGUUCAUGUGCUGUGAAUAGUAAUGUGAACAGUGUCGAUGAACAAUACCUGUGAAAAUUUAGCGUGAACGGUACCCAAUGAACAGUGCGUGUGAAUAGUAAGCAUGAAUAGUGCACAUGAACAGUACUAAAACGUACCCUAAUGAAUCGAAAGCUCUGA
Molecule: unclassified non-coding RNA, 273 nt
Filed under: Hevea brasiliensis (rubber tree)
Lineage: Eukaryota; Viridiplantae; Streptophyta; Magnoliopsida; Malpighiales; Euphorbiaceae
Source: RNAcentral